Molecule: ribosomal RNA, 450 nt
Filed under: uncultured bacterium
Lineage: Bacteria
Description: partial 16S ribosomal RNA
Rfam family: Bacterial small subunit ribosomal RNA
Source: RNAcentral
GUGGGGAAUUUUGGACAAUGGGCGCAAGCCUGAUCCAGCAAUGCCGCGUGUGUGAAGAAGGCCUUCGGGUUGUAAAGCACUUUUGGCAGGAAAGAAAUAGUGCGUGCUAAUACCAUGCGCGAAUGACGGUACCUGCAGAAUAAGCACCGGCUAACUACGUGCCAGCAGCCGCGGUAAGACGUAGGGUGCAAGCGUUAAUCGGAAUUACUGGGCGUAAAGCGUGCGCAGGCGGUUUUGUAAGACAGGUGUGAAAUCCCCGGGCUCAACCUGGGAACUGCACUUGUGACUUAAAGGCUAGAGUGUGUCAGAGGGAGGUGGAAUUCCGCGUGUAGCAGUGAAAUGCGUAGAGAUGCGGAGGAACACCGAUGGCGAAGGCAGCCUCCUGGGAUAACACUGACGCUCAGGCACGAAAGCGUGGGGAGCAAACAGGAUUAGAUACCCGGGUAGUCC